This 455-nucleotide non-coding RNA is filed under the name Perkinsus marinus ATCC 50983. RNAcentral's name for it is "Eukaryotic small subunit ribosomal RNA". It matches the Rfam family "Eukaryotic small subunit ribosomal RNA", at positions 1350 to 1831 of the family's 1831-position model. Lineage: Eukaryota; Perkinsozoa; Perkinsida; Perkinsidae. The record is from Rfam by way of RNAcentral.
GCUAAAUAGUUGCGCGAAACUUAUGUUUCGUCGCUACUUCUUAGAGGGACUUUGUGUGUUAACACAAGGAAGCUUGAGGCAUAACAGGUCUGUGAUGCCCUUAGAUGUUCUGGGCUGCACGCGCGCUACACUGACACGAUCAACAAGUAUUUCCUUGCCCGGUAGGGUUAGGGUAAUCUUUUGAAAUCGUGUCGUGCUAGGGAUAGACGAUUGCAAUUAUUCGUCUUCAACGAGGAAUUCCUAGUAAAUGCAAGUCAUCAGCUUGCGUUGAUUACGUCCCUGCCCUUUGUACACACCGCCCGUCGCUCCUACCGAUUGAGUGAUCCGGUGAGCUGUCCGGACUGCGAUUAGUUCAGUUUCUGUUCUCUUCGCGGGAAGUUCUGCAAACCUUAUCACUUAGAGGAAGGAGAAGUCGUAACAAGGUUUCCGUAGGUGAACCUGCGGAAGGAUCAUUC